Molecule: ribosomal RNA, 985 nt
Filed under: Barynotus moerens
Lineage: Eukaryota; Metazoa; Arthropoda; Insecta; Coleoptera; Curculionidae
Description: SSU rRNA
Rfam family: Eukaryotic small subunit ribosomal RNA
Source: RNAcentral
UUACCCACUCCCGGCACGGGGAGGUAGUGACGAAAAAUAACGAUACGGGACUCAUCCGAGGCCCCGUAAUCGGAAUGAGUACACUCUAAACCCUUUAACGAGGAUCAAUUGGAGGGCAAGUCUGGUGCCAGCAGCCGCGGUAAUUCCAGCUCCAAUAGCGUAUAUUAAAGUUGUUGCGGUUAAAAAGCUCGUAGUCGAAUUUGUGUCUCGUGCCGCUGGUUCAUCGUCCGCGGUGUUAACUGGCGAGUCGCGAGACGUCCUGCCGGUGGGCUUAGCUCGCAAGGGCGGCCCAACUCAAUCCUGCCGCGGUGCUCUUCAUUGAGUGUCGAGGUGGGCCGGCACGUUUACUUUGAACAAAUUAGAGUGCUUAAAGCAGGCUAAAACUUCGCCUGAAUACUGUGUGCAUGGAAUAAUGGAAUAGGACCUCGGUUCUAUUUUGUUGGUUUUCGGAACCCCGAGGUAAUGAUUAAUAGGAACGGAUGGGGGCAUUCGUAUUGCGACGUUAGAGGUGAAAUUCUUGGAUCGUCGCAAGACGGACAGAAGCGAAAGCAUUUGCCAAAAACGCUUUCAUUGAUCAAGAACGAAAGUUAGAGGUUCGAAGGCGAUCAGAUACCGCCCUAGUUCUAACCAUAAACGAUGCCAGCUAGCGAUCCGUCGACGUUCCUCCGAUGACUCGACGGGCAGCUUCCGGGAAACCAAAGCUUUUGGGUUCCGGGGGAAGUAUGGUUGCAAAGCUGAAACUUAAAGGAAUUGACGGAAGGGCACCACCAGGAGUGGAGCCUGCGGCUUAAUUUGACUCAACACGGGAAACCUCACCAGGCCCGGACACCGGAAGGAUUGACAGAUUGAGAGCUCUUUCUUGAUUCGGUGGGUGGUGGUGCAUGGCCGUUCUUAGUUGGUGGAGCGAUUUGUCUGGUUAAUUCCGAUAACGAACGAGACUCUAGCCUGCUAACUAGGCGUAUUUUGACAUCCUAAAGGCCCGCCG